This 200-nucleotide ribosomal RNA is filed under the name uncultured bacterium. RNAcentral describes it as "partial 16S ribosomal RNA". It matches the Rfam family "Bacterial small subunit ribosomal RNA", at positions 8 to 214 of the family's 1533-position model. The record is from RNAcentral.
AGAGUUUGAUCCUGGCUCAGGACGAACGCUUGCGGCGUGCCUAAGAAAUGCAAGUCGAGCGAGAGUAGCAAUACUCUAGCGGCGAACGGUCGCGUAACACGUAGGCAACCUGCCCGAAAGACCGGGACAACACUUCGAAAGAGGUGCUAAUACCGGAUGGGGCCACGAGGAGGCAUCUUCUUGUGUCUAAACCCCGCAAG